UUUGCUUCCUUGUCUGCGACUGCUUUUCAGUAUUCGCCGCGUAUAUAUGCUUUCUUGUCUGCAAAAGAGAUCAAAGGGCUUUAAAUGUCUGCGAAGGAAGAUUGCCGUCACCACACACUACCACCGUUGAUCAAAGCCAUCGCUGCAAAUGAAGUGGACGGUUUUGAUGAACCCAAACCAUCAGUUUUCAUGAUCGAAGCAGCAAACAUGAAUACUGGAGAUCGUUCGAUCUCCAUCAGUAU
Salvia hispanica is the source of this 242-nucleotide non-coding RNA. NCBI's taxonomy places the organism in Eukaryota, Viridiplantae, Streptophyta, Magnoliopsida, Lamiales, Lamiaceae. The record is from RefSeq and is a predicted model, not a curated record.